Molecule: ribosomal RNA, 91 nt
Filed under: Escherichia coli
Lineage: Bacteria; Pseudomonadati; Pseudomonadota; Gammaproteobacteria; Enterobacterales; Enterobacteriaceae
Also listed under: 3 other names
Source: RNAcentral
UCUGGCGGCAGUAGCGCGGUGGUCCCACCUGACCCCAUGCCGAACUCAGAAGUGAAACGCCGUAGCGCCGAUGGUAGUGUGGGGUCUCCCC